GGGAAAUGCUAUAUAGAAUCUUAGAUUUUGCGAGGGAGAAGAACAUCCAUGUAAUAUCAGAUGAAAUAUUUGCUGGAUCUAAUUAUGGUGGUGAAGAGUUUGUAAGCAUUGCUGAAAUUCUUGAUGAAGAUGAUGCUGACAGGGACAGGGUGCAUAUAAUAUAUGGAUUAUCCAAAGACCUUUCUGUGCCAGGGUUUAGGCUUGGCGUUCUGUAUUCCUUCAAUGAGAAUGUUGUGGCAGCAUCUAAAAAGUUGACAAGAUUUUGUGCCGCUUCGGCACCAACACAGAGCCUAUUAGUUGCAAUGCUUUCAGAUGCUGGGUUCAUCAAGGAUUAUAUGAGAACAAACAGAGAGAGAUUGCGCAAAGUGUUUGACUUAUUUGUGGCAGGUCUAAAACAAUUGGGCAUCGAAUGCAUGAAAAGCAGUGCAGGCCUGUAUUGCUGGGUUAAUAUGAGCGGAUUGAUUGGCCCUUAUAAUGAAAAGGGAGAGCUUGAGCUGUGGGAGAAGCUCUUGAAUGUAGCUAAGAUAAACGUGACUCCAGGGUCAGCUUGCCAUUGUAUUGAACCUGG
Molecule: unclassified non-coding RNA, 568 nt
Filed under: Hevea brasiliensis (rubber tree)
Lineage: Eukaryota; Viridiplantae; Streptophyta; Magnoliopsida; Malpighiales; Euphorbiaceae
Source: RNAcentral